AUUGAACGCUGGCGGAAUGCUUUACACAUGCAAGUCGAACGGCAGCACGGGGGCAACCCUGGUGGCGAGUGGCGAACGGGUGAGUAAUACAUCGGAACGUGCCCAGUCGUGGGGGAUAACGUAGCGAAAGUUACGCUAAUACCGCAUACGAUCUACGGAUGAAAGCGGGGGACCGUAAGGCCUCGCGCGAUUGGAGCGGCCGCUGUCAGCUUAGGUAGUUGGUGAGGUAAAGGCUCACCAAGCCGACGAUCUGUAGCUGGUCUGAGAGGACGACCAGCCACACUGGGACUGAGACACGGCCCAGCCUCCUACGGGAGGCAGCAGUGGGGAAUUUUGGACAAUGGGCGCAAGCCUGAUCCAGCCAUUCCGCGUGCAGGACGAAGGCCUUCGGGUUGUAAACUGCUUUUGUACGGAACGAAAAGGCUCUGGUUAAUACCUGGGGCUCAUGACGGUACCGUAAGAAUAAGCACCGGCUAACUACGUGCCAGCCGCCGCCGUAA
This 500-nucleotide ribosomal RNA is filed under the name uncultured bacterium. RNAcentral's name for it is "partial 16S ribosomal RNA". It matches the Rfam family "Bacterial small subunit ribosomal RNA", at positions 30 to 523 of the family's 1533-position model. The record is from RNAcentral.